CUGGGAUUAACACUGAGUCAGUUCAGUUAGUUGCUUCGUCUUGGUGACAUCUAAGGUCACAACACUUGUUUAGUCCUUCCACCUUCGGGAUGGGUCCACCCAACACCAUCUUCGGGUUUGUUCCCACACCAAGACCUUCAAGUGAUUCAUCUAGUGCACCUAGAUGAGAUGCAAGAUGCAAGUGCAUGAAUAUAAAGAAUAAUAACACAACAUGCAUCACAUAAAAUUAUGCAAGACACAGGCAUCUAAAGUUAUUUAGCUAACAUCACACAACCAAUUAUAUAGAGCAAAC
This 292-nucleotide long non-coding RNA is filed under the name Sorghum bicolor (sorghum). RNAcentral describes it as "long non-coding RNA (SBIC_LNC015950)". The record is from RNAcentral. Lineage: Eukaryota; Viridiplantae; Streptophyta; Magnoliopsida; Poales; Poaceae.